This 253-nucleotide ribosomal RNA is filed under the name uncultured bacterium. RNAcentral describes it as "partial 16S ribosomal RNA". It matches the Rfam family "Bacterial small subunit ribosomal RNA", at positions 524 to 776 of the family's 1533-position model. The record is from RNAcentral.
UACGGAGGGAGCUAGCGUUGUUCGGAAUUACUGGGCGUAAAGCGCACGUAGGCGGCUUUGUAAGUUAGAGGUGAAAGCCCGGAGCUCAACUCCGGAAUUGCCUUUAAGACUGCAUCGCUUGAAUCCAGGAGAGGUGAGUGGAAUUCCGAGUGUAGAGGUGAAAUUCGUAGAUAUCGUUUGGAACGCCAAUGGUGAAAACAGGUCGCUGGGAGUGUGCUGACGCUGAGACACGAAAGCCAGGGGAGCGAACGGG